Molecule: long non-coding RNA, 2856 nt
Organism: Folsomia candida
Lineage: Eukaryota; Metazoa; Arthropoda; Collembola; Entomobryomorpha; Isotomidae
Exons: 2
Source: RefSeq, a predicted model, not a curated record
AAUAAUCCACUUGGUUCAGUCGAAAUAUGAGUGCAACGCCUGAUACCAUCGCAUUGUUAACUUAUCAAAAUUAAAUAAUUGAAUUAUCGUCAUCCUUCCUAAAAUUGAUAAUCAAAUUGAUCCCCUCUGGUUUAAAUAUUAUCUGCUUGGUGCGGGUCAUCAGUGCUCAUCUGAACAUUUGCAUUGCAUUCUACAAUUUGAUAACCAAGUUCUGAUUUCAGUGGGAUUCAUGACGAUUAAUGAAUUGUAUGAAGGUACAAACUUGCUCAUUUAGCAAAAUCAGUAUUUGGUUUAUUCUAGAAAUAUGACGAAUCACGUCGGGCUAACGAGAUGACGACUAACGAGCCAUAAUCUUCUGACAUAAUGUGUCGAUGUGUCACCAAAUUUUAAACCAACCCUAAUAGAUCUUGACCAUGAACAUGAUACCGAACAUGAUAAGUACCAGUCUAGGAUGUUGUUGGCUGAAAACAUAUAUAAUAAUUUUCAGCUUUACACUAGAUUAGCAGUGUAAAUUUGUGUAAAUUAACUCCGUCUCCUAUUGCAAACGUGUAAUUUUACAGAUUUAGUCACCAUUAACUUUGCACAUGUCUAUUUUUGCAUAACACAUAUAUCCAUAAAUUCUUCUGGCUGGUUGGUUUUGGUUUUAGCUUUAUACGGCUUGUUCGGUGGUGUGGUAAUUAAGCGCUAUUCCGUCAAGUAUGCAUUUUUAUAUGUACAUAUGUACACACGUAUGCAUGGUUUUGGCAGUGACCUCAUCCACCUAUCCAAUAACUGCAGCAGCAACAAGUAUUAUUGCAAGUAGUCGGUGUUCUGGAGGGGAAGACAGAGUUAUCAGCACUUACAUUACUAAUACUUUUUUUACAUAUCUUAUACCACACAUUUUAUUUCACGUAGCACCACAUUUUCACAAUUUUGAAGAUAGAAUACUCCUUCGUCGUCCCCUCAAGAAGAUUAUUGUUUUGGGAGCGUGCACACCAUUAUGACCGUCGUCACAUAAUGUCAUUAUAUAACGUCUUUUAAUGUACUACCUCAAAAUGGUAUAUGCCCUCAGCGAUCGACAUUGCAUUGCAGUACAUGCUGAGGCGACAAGUAAUAAUACAUAUGUAAAACUUGAACCAACUCUUGAGUCUCACCUCGCCUCAUCCGUUUUGUUAUUGUUGUUUUGUUGCAGUCUACUCGCAGUUAAUUUCUUCUGUGUUUGGAAUGUGGUGCAAAAAAAACUUGAUAUUACAUGAGCAGCAGCAUUAUUAUGCAUAAUCCUUUAAAACCUCGGCCCAGCAUAUACAGAUAUCUGUAGAUGUACGACAGCAAGGGGCACCCCCACACUCACACACCUUUUUUCCCACCCAUCUAUCUCCCUAUUCACCACCGUACGAAGUUUACUUUCUGCUUGGUUACUGCUACCUUCCAAAUCUUCAACUUGACUGAUUUUAACUAUACGCCUGGAUUUGUUUUCUGUAACCUUAUUGCUUUGAUACAUCAUUUGCCUAGAGUCCAGUGGUUGGUUUGGUCGGUGGUAUGUCGUUGUUAUUAUGCAUCGCUCGUAGUGGUACUACAUGACAUUUUGGUUAGUGCGGUGUGGGGAUGUUGGGCUUGGUUCAUUUGUAAAAUGCUUUGAAUCUGGUUUUCCGUACUGCCUGAUGCUAAAUUUCGAUACGUAUUAAUGUACAGGAUCGCCAUCAUCAUCGCGUUGGUUCAUCAUGAGUGGGUGUUCUGUUCAUUCCUUGUCUUCAGUCCUGUUCUAGACGCGCAUCGAGAACUUGUUUGGCAUAGUUUCGAAACAAAAAGUUCAUUUAAUUUUUGAUUUCCGAAUCCGGACACGUUUUUGAAGUAAAACUUUUCUCCCCGUUUACCAAACACACGAGAGAAACACGAUGGCGUUGGAUAAUAAGCAACUUCUUCUCAUCAUCCUGGCAAUCUUCAUCCCACCGCUGGCCGUCUUCCUGAAAAAGGAGACGUGCGACAUGGACGUCAUUAUAAACCUCAUUCUCACAUUGUUCUUCUUCCUCCCCGGAAUUAUUCAUGCGGUUUGGGUCAUUCUCAAGUAGAAGAGAAAGAUCAAAAACAAACCAAAACACCAAAACCAUAACUCAGACCAAAAUUUAAAUUGCCUUUUACACUACUCCUCAAUCGGACAAGAUUCCUGCGCAAAUAUUUAUCACAAUAAACAACAACGGACUAUUUUGACCAGACCAGAAUCUCACCUAUGCGUCGUGGUCAUGACUCUGGGCUUCAUAAACAGCAAAAUCACAUCGCAUGUAUCACACACCACCAACUCUUCUUGAUUUUGGGACUGGUUUUCAUCUCCUCAACUCCUCAUCAUCAACACAUUAUGCGAAAUGAAAAGUAUAAAUUAUGAGAAAAAUACUAAUCCAGGUCCAACUCCAAGUUAUGUAGGUUCAGUUUCAAGUCGAGGAUUUAUUAUACAAGUGCCUUAAAAAUUGAGUGGUCCAGUUUCCGAAUCUGUAUUCCAUUUUUUUCCUCUCUUUCACCAAGUUGCUAGCAUUUUAGGACUUGUAAAAUACUAGGCAGGCAUAAAGCCCCCACUUUUUUUCUGAAUUACAAAUAUUUAUAGCUAAAGUCUACAGUUUUCUAUGAGCUAUCUUAAUUUUUAAUAAAAUUUAUCAGACAAUCACAAAAUAAUACUGCCAUUUACAUAAAUACAUUUUCAACAGAAAUUAUUGCAAUUUAAAUUACAAAGUAGUUUUUCAAUUGUAUUUAAGAUUAAUAAUUAAUUAACUUUCUUUAAAUGCCAUAAGUCUCAAUUGUAUGUUACUUAAAAGUUACGUCAAUGUCACUAUUAAAGUUUAAUACUGUUAUAUAAUAAUUAACUCGUGGUAUGUGCUGUGUUCGUAA